CAGUAGCCGCGGGAAUACGGAGGGUGCAAGCGUUAAUCGGAAUUACUGGGCGUAAAGCGCACGCAGGCGGUCUGACAAGUCAGAUGUGAAGUCCCCGGGCUUAACCUGGGAACUGCAUUUGAAACUGUCAGGCUGGAGUCUUGUAGAGGGGGGUGGAAUUCCAGGUGUAGCGGUGAAAUGCGUAGAGAUCUGGAGGAAUACCGGUGGCGAAGGCGGCCCCCUGGACAAAGACUGACGCUCAGGUGCGAAAGCGUGGGGAGCAAACAGGAUUAGAUACCCCAGUAGUCCCUGUCUCUUAUAC
Molecule: ribosomal RNA, 301 nt
Filed under: uncultured bacterium
Lineage: Bacteria
Description: partial 16S ribosomal RNA
Rfam family: Bacterial small subunit ribosomal RNA
Source: RNAcentral